CAGCCGCCACGGUAAUACGAAGGGUGCAAGCGUUAAUCGGAAUUACUGGGCGUAAAGCGUGCGUAGGCGGUGAGUUAAGUCUGCUGUGAAAUCCCCGGGCUCAACCUGGGAAUGGCAGUGGAUACUGGCUCGCUAGAGUGUGUCAGAGGAUGGUGGAAUUCCCGGUGUAGCGGUGAAAUGCGUAGAGAUGUGGAGGAACACCGAUGGCGAAGGCGGCCCCCUGGGCCAAUACUGACGCUCAUGCACGAAAGCGUGGGGAGCAAACAGGAUUAGAUACCCGCGUAGUCCCUGUCUCUUAUAC
This 301-nucleotide ribosomal RNA is filed under the name uncultured bacterium. Its description in RNAcentral is "partial 16S ribosomal RNA". It matches the Rfam family "Bacterial small subunit ribosomal RNA", at positions 509 to 807 of the family's 1533-position model. The record is from RNAcentral.